UCCGGAGCUAACGCGUUAAGUAGACCGCCUGGGGAGUACGGCCGCAAGGUUAAAACUCAAAUGAAUUGACGGGGGCCCGCACAAGCGGUGGAGCAUGUGGUUUAAUUCGAUGCAACGCGAAGAACCUUACCUGGUCUUGACAUCCACAGAAGAAUCCAGAGAUGGAUUUGUGCCUUCGGGAACUGUGAGACAGGUGCUGCAUGGCUGUCGUCAGCUCGUGUUGUGAAAUGUUGGGUUAAGUCCCGCAACGAGCGCAACCCUUAUCCUUUGUUGCCAGCGGUUAGGCCGGGAACUCAAAGGAGACUGCCAGUGAUAAACUGGAGGAAGGUGGGGAUGACGUCAAGUCAUCAUGGCCCUUACGACCAGGGCUACACACGUGCUACAAUGGCGCAUACAAAGAGAAGCGACCUCGCGAGAGCAAGCGGACCUCAUAAAGUGCGUCGUAGUCCGGAUUGGAGUCUGCAACUCGACUCCAUGAAGUCGGAAUCGCUAGUAAUCGUGGAUCAGAAUGCCACGGUGAAUACGUUCCCGGGCCUUGUACACACCGCCCGUCACACCAUGGGAGUGGGUUGCAAAAGAAGUAGGUAGCUUAACCUUCGGGAGGGCGCUUACCACUUUGUGAUUCAUGACUGGGGUGAAGUCGUAACAAGGUAACCGUAGGGGAACCUGCGGUUGGA
This 677-nucleotide ribosomal RNA is filed under the name Salmonella enterica. Its description in RNAcentral is "bacterial SSU rRNA". It matches the Rfam family "Bacterial small subunit ribosomal RNA", at positions 845 to 1522 of the family's 1533-position model. Lineage: Bacteria; Pseudomonadati; Pseudomonadota; Gammaproteobacteria; Enterobacterales; Enterobacteriaceae. RNAcentral also lists the same sequence under 1 other name. The record is from RNAcentral.